GUGCCAGCCGCCGCGGUAAUACGUAGGGGGCGAGCGUUGUCCGGAAUUACUGGGCGUAAAGGGCGUGUAGGCGGCCAAGCAAGUCAGCUGUGAAACACCCCGGCUCAACCGUGGUUCUGCAGUUGAAACUGCGUGGCUUGAGUGCAGGAGAGGAGGGUGGAAUUCCUGGUGUAGCGGUGAAAUGCGUAGAUAUCAGGAGGAACACCGGUGGCGAAGGCGACCUUCUGGCCUGUUACUGACGCUGAGGCGCGAAAGCUAGGGGAGCGAACAGGAUUAGAUACCCUGGUAGUCCUAGCCGUAAACGCUGGGUACUAGGUGUAGGCGGUUUAGAUACUGUCUGUGCCGCAGUUAACGCAUUAAGUACCCCGCCUGGGGAGUACGGUCGCAAGGCUGAAACUCAAAUAAAUUGACGG
RNAcentral lists this ribosomal RNA (413 nucleotides) under uncultured bacterium. RNAcentral describes it as "bacterial SSU rRNA". It matches the Rfam family "Bacterial small subunit ribosomal RNA", at positions 505 to 916 of the family's 1533-position model. The record is from RNAcentral.